Small nuclear RNA from Hermetia illucens (black soldier fly), 91 nucleotides. RefSeq annotates it as U2 spliceosomal RNA. The transcript has a single exon. The record is from RefSeq and is a predicted model, not a curated record. NCBI's taxonomy places the organism in Eukaryota, Metazoa, Arthropoda, Insecta, Diptera, Stratiomyidae.
CAGGCUUUUCGGCCUUAUGGCUAAGAUCAAAGUGUACUAUCUGUUCUCGUCAGCUUAACAUCUUUUCAGUUUACAGACUUAAUAAUCUCCA